Non-coding RNA from Sturnus vulgaris (Common starling), 209 nucleotides. NCBI's taxonomy places the organism in Eukaryota, Metazoa, Chordata, Aves, Passeriformes, Sturnidae. The record is from RefSeq and is a predicted model, not a curated record.
AGGAAGAGGAGAGCGAGAAGAAAAAGAAAAACCGAAAGAAUGAGAAACCCAAAGGGAAGAAACAGGGAAAAUCUCCCAGCGAUGAUGAGGCCGAAGGCUCCGAGGAGGCCAAGGGCAAAAAGAACAAAUUUGGAGCCCUGAGAAAGGAAGAGGAGGAGGAGGAAGAGGAGGAAGAGGAAGGAGCCCAGAAAGGAAGUGAGAAUGUGAGU